GCCGGGCAUGGUGGUGUGUGCCUGUAAUCCUAGCUACUUGAGAGGCUGAGGCAGGAGAAUUGCUUGAGCCCAGGAGACAGAGGUUGCAGUGAGCAGAGAUUGUGCCACUGCACUCCAGCCUGGCCCACAGAGUGAGACUCUGUCUCUA
This 148-nucleotide non-coding RNA is filed under the name Callithrix jacchus (white-tufted-ear marmoset). Lineage: Eukaryota; Metazoa; Chordata; Mammalia; Primates; Cebidae. The record is from Rfam by way of RNAcentral.